CAUGCAGUCGAGCGGACCGACGGGAGCUUGCUCCCUUAGGUCAGCGGCGGACGGGUGAGUAACACGUGGGUAACCUGCCUGUAAGACUGGGAUAACUCCGGGAAACCGGGGCUAAUACCGGAUGCUUGAUUGAACCGCAUGGUUCAAUCAUGAAAGGCGGCUUCGGCUGCCGUUUACAGAUGGACCCGCGGCGCAUUAGCUAGUUGGUGAGGUAACGGCUCACCAAGGCGACGAUGCGUAGCCGACCUGAGAGGGUGAUCGGCCACACUGGGACUGAGACACGGCCCAGACUCCUACGGGAGGCAGCAGUAGGGAAUCUUCCGCAAUGGACGAAAGUCUGACGGAGCAACGCCGCGUGAGUGAUGAAGGUUUUCGGAUCGUAAAGCUCUGUUGUUAGGGAAGAACAAGUACCGUUCGAAUAGGGCGGUACCUUGACGGUACCUAACCAGAAAGCCACGGCUAACUACGUGCCAGCAGCCGCGGUAAUACGUAGGUGGCAAGCGUUGUCCGGAAUUAUUGGGCGUAAAGCGCGCGCAGGCGGUUUCUUAAGUCUGAUGUGAAAGCCCCCGGCUCAACCGGGGAGGGUCAUUGGAAACUGGGGAACUUGAGUGC
This 612-nucleotide ribosomal RNA is filed under the name Bacillus sp. CSu2_29. Its description in RNAcentral is "bacterial SSU rRNA". It matches the Rfam family "Bacterial small subunit ribosomal RNA", at positions 54 to 649 of the family's 1533-position model. Lineage: Bacteria; Bacillati; Bacillota; Bacilli; Caryophanales; Bacillaceae. The record is from RNAcentral.